UUUGAUCCUGGCUCAGGACGAACGCUGGCGGUGCGCCUAACACAUGCAAGUCGAAUGAGCGAGAGAGAGCUUGCUUUCUCAAGCGAGUGGCGAACGGGUGAGUAACGCGUGUGGAACCUGCCUCAAAGAGGGGGACAACAGUUGGAACGGACUGCUAAUACCGCAUAAGCCCACGACCCGGCAUCGGGUAGAGGGGAAAAGGAGCAAUCCGCUUUGAGAUGGCCUCGCGUCCGAUUAGCUAGUUGGUGAGGUAAUGGCCCACCAAGGCGACGAUCGGUAGCCGGACUGAGAGGUUGAACGGCCACAUUGGGACUGAGACACGGCCCAGACUCCUACGGGAGGCAGCAGUGGGGAAUAUUGCACAAUGGGGGAAACCCUGAUGCAGCGACGCCGCGUGGAGGAAGAAGGUCUUCGGAUUGUAAACUCCUGUUGUUGAGGAAGAUAAUGACGGUACUCAACAAGGAAGUGACGGCUAACUACGUGCCAGCAGCCGCGGUAAAACGUAGGUCACAAGCGUUGUCCGGAAUUACUGGGUGUAAAGGGAGCGCAGGCGGGAAGACAAGUUGGAAGUGAAAUCCAUGGGCUCAACCCAUGAACUGCUUUCAAAACUGUUUUUCUUGAGUAGUGCAGAGGUAGGCGGAAUUCCCGGUGUAGCGGUGGAAUGCGUAGAUAUCGGGAGGAACACCAGUGGCGAAGGCGGCCUACUGGGCACCAACUGACGCUGAGGCUCGAAAGUGUGGGUAGCAAACAGGAUUAGAUACCCUGGUAGUCCACACUGUAAACGAUGAUUACUAGGUGUUGGAGGAUUGACCCCUUCAGUGCCGCAGUUAACACAAUAAGUAAUCCACCUGGGGAGUACGACCGCAAGGUUGAAACUCAAAGGAAUUGACGGGGGCCCGCACAAGCAGUGGAGUAUGUGGUUUAAUUCGACGCAACGCGAAGAACCUUACCAAGUCUUGACAUCCUGCGACGGACAUAGAAAUAUGUUUUUCCUUCGGGACGCAGAGACAGGUGGUGCAUGGUUGUCGUCAGCUCGUGUCGUGAGAUGUUGGGUUAAGUCCCGCAACGAGCGCAACCCUUAUGGUCAGUUACUACGCAAGAGGACUCUGGCCAGACUGCCGUUGACAAAACGGAGGAAGGUGGGGAUGACGUCAAAUCAUCAUGCCCUUUAUGACUUGGGCUACACACGUACUACAAUGGCGUUAAACAAAGAGAAGCAAGACCGCGAGGUGGAGCAAAACUCAGAAACAACGUCCCAGUUCGGACUGCAGGCUGCAACUCGCCUGCACGAAGUCGGAAUUGCUAGUAAUCGCAGAUCAGCAUGCUGCGGUGAAUACGUUCCCGGGCCUUGCACACACCGCCCGUCA
This 1367-nucleotide ribosomal RNA is filed under the name uncultured bacterium. RNAcentral describes it as "bacterial SSU rRNA". It matches the Rfam family "Bacterial small subunit ribosomal RNA". The record is from RNAcentral.